This 78-nucleotide ribosomal RNA is filed under the name Callistemon viridiflorus. The record is from RNAcentral. Lineage: Eukaryota; Viridiplantae; Streptophyta; Magnoliopsida; Myrtales; Myrtaceae.
CCGAAGUUAAGCGUGCUUGGGCGAGAGUAGUAAUAGGAUGGGUGACCUCCUGGGAAGUCCUCGUGUUGCACCCCUGGC